This 440-nucleotide ribosomal RNA is filed under the name uncultured bacterium. RNAcentral describes it as "partial 16S ribosomal RNA". It matches the Rfam family "Bacterial small subunit ribosomal RNA", at positions 338 to 795 of the family's 1533-position model. The record is from RNAcentral.
CCUACGGGGGGCAGCAGUGGGGAAUAUUGCACAAUGGGGGAAACCCUGAUGCAGCGACGCCGCGUGAGUGAGGACGUAUCUAGGUAUGUUAAGCUCUAUCAGCAGGGAAGAAAAUGACGGUACCUGACUCAGAAGCCCCGGCUAACUACGUGCAAGCAGCCGCGGUAAUACGUAGGGGGCCAGCGUUAUCCGGAUGUACUGGGUGUAAAGGGAGCGUAGACGGCUAAUCAAGUCAGAAGUGAAAACCCAGGGCUCAACUUUGGGACUGCUUUUGAAACUGAGUAGCUAGAGUGCAGGAGAGGUAGGCGGAAUUCGUAGUGUAGCGGUGAAAUGCGUAGAUAUUAGGAGGAACACCAGUGGCGAAGGCGGCUUACUGGACUGUAACUGACGUUGAGGCUCGAAAGCGUGGGGAUCAAACAGGAUUAGAUACCCCUGUAGUC